CUACGGGGCGCUGCAGUUAGGAAUAUUCUGCAAUGCGCGUAAGCGUGACAGAUUGAAUCAGAGUGUUUUUCAAUGAAAAACUUUUGUGGAAUGCAAAAAGUUUCACGAAUAAGGACUGGGUAAGACGAGUGCCAGCCGCCGCGGUAAUACUCGCGGUCCAAGUCGCAGCCAUUUUUAUUGGGUCUAAAACAUCCGUAGCUUGCUUAAUAAGUUUCUUGUGAAAUCUUAUCUCUUAAAGAUAAGGCGAGCAAGAAGUACUGUUAAGCUAGAGACUGGAAGACGUAGGAAGUAUGUUCAAAGUAGCGGUAAAAUGUGUUAAUCUUGAGCAGACUCACAAUAGCGAAGGCAUCCUACGAGGACAGUUCUGACAGUAAGGGAUGAAGGCUAGGGGCGCAAAACGGAUUAGAUACCCCAGUAGUC
RNAcentral lists this ribosomal RNA (420 nucleotides) under uncultured archaeon. Its description in RNAcentral is "partial 16S ribosomal RNA". It matches the Rfam family "Archaeal small subunit ribosomal RNA", at positions 323 to 746 of the family's 1478-position model. The record is from RNAcentral.